CGGGCUGCUGCAGCAGUGAGGAAUAUUGCACAAUGGGGGGAACCCUGAUGCAGCAACGCCGCGUGGAGGAUGACGCAUUUCGGUGUGUAAACUCCUUUUAUAUGUCAAGAAAAUGACGGUAGCAUAUGAAUAAGCUCCGGCUAACUCCGUGCCAGCAGCCGCGGUAAUACGGAGGGAGCAAGCGUUACUCGGAAUCACUGGGCGUAAAGGACGCGUAGGCGGGAUAGAAAGUCAGGUGUGAAAUCCUAUGGCUCAACCAUAGAACUGCACUUGAAACUUCUAACCUAGAGUAUGGGAGGGGAAGAUGGAAUUAGUGGUGUAGGGGUAAAAUCCGUAGAUAUCACUAGGAAUACCAAAAGCGAAGGCGAUCUUCUGGAACAAUACUGACGCUAAGGCGUGAAAGCGUGGGGAGCAAACAGGAUUAGAUACCCCGGUAGUC
This 439-nucleotide ribosomal RNA is filed under the name uncultured bacterium. RNAcentral's name for it is "partial 16S ribosomal RNA". It matches the Rfam family "Bacterial small subunit ribosomal RNA", at positions 342 to 795 of the family's 1533-position model. The record is from RNAcentral.